AGGAAAGUAGGGGAUCGCAAGACCUUGCGCUCUUGGAGCGGCCGAUGUCUGAUUAGCUAGUUGGUGAGGUAAAGGCUUACCAAGGCGACGAUCAGUAGCUGGUCUGGGAGGACGACCAGCCACACUGGGACUGAGACACGGCCCAGACUCCUACGGGAGGUAGCAGUGGGGAAUUUUGGACAAUGGGGGAAACCCUGAUCCAGCCAUGCCGCGUGAGUGAAGAAGGCCUUCGGGUUGUAAAGCUCUUUCAGCCGGAACGAAACGGUCACGGCUAAUACCUGUGACUACUGACGGUACCGGAAGAAGAAGCACCGGCUAACUACGUGCCAGCAGCCGCGGUAAUACGUAGGGUGCAAGCGUUAAUCGGAAUUACUGGGCGUAAAGCGUGCGCAGGCGGUUUUGUAAGUCAGAUGUGAAAUCCCCGGGCUUAACCUGGGAACUGCGUUUGAAACUACAAAGCU
RNAcentral lists this ribosomal RNA (461 nucleotides) under uncultured beta proteobacterium. RNAcentral's name for it is "bacterial SSU rRNA". It matches the Rfam family "Bacterial small subunit ribosomal RNA", at positions 190 to 642 of the family's 1533-position model. Lineage: Bacteria; Pseudomonadati; Pseudomonadota; Betaproteobacteria. The record is from RNAcentral.